RNAcentral lists this ribosomal RNA (253 nucleotides) under uncultured bacterium. Its description in RNAcentral is "partial 16S ribosomal RNA". It matches the Rfam family "Bacterial small subunit ribosomal RNA", at positions 524 to 776 of the family's 1533-position model. The record is from RNAcentral.
UACGGAGGGUGCAAGCGUUAUCCGGAUUCACUGGGCUUAAAGGGAGCGCAGGCGGAUUGGUAAGUCAGUGGUGAAAUACCCGUGCUUAACAUGGGAACUGCCAUUGAUACUAUCAGUCUUGAAUGUUGUUGAGGUUUGCGGAAUGGGUCAUGUAGCGGUGAAAUGCAUAGAUAUGACCCGGAACACCUAUUGCGAAGGCAGCAGGCUAAACAAAUAUUGACGCUGAGGCUCGAAAGCGUGGGGAUCAAACAGG